GACGAACGCUGGCGGCGUGCUUAACACAUGCAAGUCGAACGGAAAGGCCCUGCUUUUGUGGGGUGCUCGAGUGGCGAACGGGUGAGUAACACGUGAGUAACCUGCCCUUGACUUUGGGAUAACUUCAGGAAACUGGGGCUAAUACCGGAUAGGAGCUCCUGCUGCAUGGUGGGGGUUGGAAAGUUUCGGCGGUUGGGGAUGGACUCGCGGCUUAUCAGCUUGUUGGUGGGGUAGUGGCUUACCAAGGCUUUGACGGGUAGCCGGCCUGAGAGGGUGACCGGCCACAAUGGGGAUGGAGAUCCGCCCAGGCCCCCACGGGGGGGAGGAGGGGGGAAAUUUUGAAAAGGGGGGGGAGGCCGAAGCCAGCACCGCCGGGGGGGGAUGGACGGCCUUGGGUUUGAAAACCGUUUCCGCCGGGAACGAGGGGUGGGGGACGGGAGUGGGUAAAGAAGCACCGGCUAACUCCGUG
Molecule: ribosomal RNA, 469 nt
Filed under: uncultured bacterium
Lineage: Bacteria
Description: partial 16S ribosomal RNA
Rfam family: Bacterial small subunit ribosomal RNA
Source: RNAcentral